GAUCAUGGCUCAGAUUGAACGCUGGCGGCAGGCCUAACACAUGCAAGUCGAGUGGUAGAGAGAAGCUUGCUUCUCUUGAGAGCGGCGGACGGGUGAGUAAUACCUAGGAAUCUGCCUGAUAGUGGGGGAUAACGUUCGGAAACGGACGCUAAUACCGCAUACGUCCUACGGGAGAAAGCAGGGGACCUUCGGGCCGUUGCGCUAUCAGAUGAGCCUAGGUCGGAUUAGCUAGUUGGUGAGG
This 241-nucleotide ribosomal RNA is filed under the name uncultured bacterium. RNAcentral describes it as "partial 16S ribosomal RNA". It matches the Rfam family "Bacterial small subunit ribosomal RNA", at positions 15 to 257 of the family's 1533-position model. The record is from RNAcentral.